GAUCUGCUCCAGGGAGGACCCAGUGUGCAUCAUGGAAGCUGUGGCUCAACUCCUCUGUCUCCUGUUUCUCUGGGUCCAAGAUUCCACUGGAGAAGUCCUGUUGACCCUGUCUCCAGCCUCCCUGGCUUUGUCUCCAGGAGAAGCAGCCACUCUCAGCUGCACAGCCCAUCAGGGUAUUAGCAACUACCUAGGCUGGUACCUGCAGAAAGAUGCGCAGUCUCCCAGGCUCCUCAUCGAUGAUGCCUCCUGCAGGGCCACUGGCAUCCCAGCCCGGUUCAGUGGCAGUGGGUCGGGGACAGGCUUCACUCUCACCAUCAGCAACCUGGAUCCUGAAGAUGUUGCAACUUAUUAGUGUUACCAGUAUUACAGUGGGUUCCCCUGGUGAUUCAGUG
Non-coding RNA from Chinchilla lanigera (long-tailed chinchilla), 392 nucleotides. The record is from the annotation of a RefSeq genome assembly. Lineage: Eukaryota; Metazoa; Chordata; Mammalia; Rodentia; Chinchillidae.